This 492-nucleotide ribosomal RNA is filed under the name uncultured bacterium. Its description in RNAcentral is "partial 16S ribosomal RNA". It matches the Rfam family "Bacterial small subunit ribosomal RNA", at positions 29 to 507 of the family's 1533-position model. The record is from RNAcentral.
AGUGAACGCUGGCGGUAGGCCUAACACAUGCAAGUCGAACGGCAGCACAGUAAGAGCUUGCUCUUACGGGUGGCGAGUGGCGGACGGGUGAGGAAUACAUCGGAAUCUACUUUUUCGUGGGGGAUAACGUAGGUAAACUUACGCUAAUACCGCAUACGACCUACGGGUGAAAGCAGGGGAUCUUCGGACCUUGCGCGAUUGAAUGAGCCGAUGUCGGAUUAGCUAGUUGGCGGGGUAAAGGCCCACCAAGGCGAAGAUCCGUAGCUGGUCUGAGAGGAUGAUCAGCCACAAUGGAACUGAGACACGGUCCAGACUCCUAAGGGAGGCAGCAGUCGGGAAUAUUGGACAAUGGGAGAAAGCCUGAUACAGGCAUACCGCGUGGGUGAAGAAGGCCUUGGGGUUGUAAAGCCCUUUUGUUGGGAAAGAAAAGCAGCAGGUUAAUAACCCGCUGUUCUGACGGUACCCAAAGAAUAAGCACCGGCUAACUUCGUG